RNAcentral lists this ribosomal RNA (253 nucleotides) under uncultured bacterium. Its description in RNAcentral is "partial 16S ribosomal RNA". It matches the Rfam family "Bacterial small subunit ribosomal RNA", at positions 524 to 776 of the family's 1533-position model. The record is from RNAcentral.
UACGGAGGGGGCUAGCGUUGUUCGGAAUUACUGGGCGUAAAGCGCGCGUAGGCGGCUUUGUAAGUUAGAGGUGAAAGCCCAGGGCUCAACCCUGGAAUUGCCUUUAAGACUGCAUCGCUUGAACAUCGGAGAGGUAAGUGGAAUUCCGAGUGUAGAGGUGAAAUGCGUAGAUAUUGGGAGGAACACCAGUGGCGAAGGCGGCUCACUGGACUGGUACUGACGCUGAGGCGCGAAAGCGUGGGGAGCAAACGGG